Molecule: non-coding RNA, 1170 nt
Organism: Monodelphis domestica (gray short-tailed opossum)
Lineage: Eukaryota; Metazoa; Chordata; Mammalia; Didelphimorphia; Didelphidae
Source: the annotation of a RefSeq genome assembly
AAAUAUGAAUAAAUACAAAGUGAUUUAGAAAUGUAAUAACAGUUGACUGAACCAGGAAUAGUGAGACAUUGUGCUAAUCACUACUAGACAGGCUCUCAAAGAAUAUAGCAAUAGUUGAGCCUUGAUAAGAUGCUUAGGAUUCCUUAUUUAUUCACACAAACACAGAGUACAAAGGCUAAUGCCAUCUAUGUUUGCAAAAAGGACUGAGGUUUCCCUACCUUGUUCCAUAGAGUGUGCAUGUUCUUCUCUAGGGGUGUUCAUGAGACCAUUGAGAUUGACAGAGAUAGUGACAUCCAAGACAGACUAUGCCUAUUGAGACCAGGUGAUCUCAUAUCUCUGCUUCCAGAUAUCAGAGCCUGAGCUGGCAAGAUGAUUCAUGCCUGGCUUGUCCCUCACAUGGGCAUCAAAUUCCUACACUGCAUUUCCAUUUUUCUAUUGGGAGCAGGACUUACAGAUGCUGAAGUCACCCAGACACCAAAACAGCUUGUCACAGAGAUAAGACAGCAAGUGAACCUGACAUGUCACCCCAUUUCUGGACACACUGGACUCUACUGGUACCAACAGGUCACAGGGAACGGAAUAGAGUUGCUGGUAUAUCUUCAGAACAACAAAAUUCUCGAUGACACUCAAUUUUCCAAAGAUCGAUUCUCAGUUAUAUGGCCCAAGUCAUCACCGUCUAUCCUGACGAUCAAAACCACAGAACUCAAAGACUCUGCUGUGUAUCUCUGUGCCAGCAGUCCAACCACAGCAUUGCAGCACCAGUGCCUCUCUAUACACAAAUAUCUUUCUUCUCCCUAUACGCUUUUCCUGAGACCUGUGCAAGACUCCUCCCAGCUAUUCCCCCACUAAGGGAUCAAGAGAAAUUAGUUUCAGCUGUCCCCCUACCCUCUUGCAGAGGGAGAUAGAGGAUUAGAGGAUUAACUCUUCAGUUGCAUGUAGAAACAAUUAUCCAUAAUUGUCCUUUGACAUUUUAGAAUUUAGAUUUUCUUCCUUCUUCCCUUCUUCCCCUUCCAGAAGAACUAAAUAAACUGAUUUAGGUAAUACCGGGAACACUACUUCUUUCCCCUCCCCCAAAAGUGUCAUCUUUCACCUUAGAAUCAAUAAUAAGUAUUGGUUCCAAGGCAGAAGAGUGGUAAGAAUUAAGCAACUGGAAUUUUGCUCAGGGCCACU